Molecule: long non-coding RNA, 573 nt
Filed under: Cricetulus griseus (Chinese hamster)
Lineage: Eukaryota; Metazoa; Chordata; Mammalia; Rodentia; Cricetidae
Description: lncRNA (ENSCGRG00015040554.1)
Source: RNAcentral
CUUUGGUACUUGCUGGACAGACUGCUGCCACGCCGGCUGGCUAGGUCACUCUGUUCUCUCUCAACCAGAGGGUAGAGGAGCAAGACUGGAAUGGCUGCAGAUGAAACUGGCUGUUGUGUUGUGCCUCUAAGUCCCUCUUUGGGGUUUGGUGGCAGGAAGAGUCUGGGGGUCACAGAGCCUUCAUCCAGUAGCUGUUUGAAGCAGAAACAGGCACCCACAGCUAAGCACUGAAUCUUACUAGUGGAAUCCAGUUGUGGAGAAGGAGGAGGGAUGAGCAAAGAAGCCAAGACAUGACUGGAAAAACCCUCAGAUACAGUGGACCUGACAUACUGAUAGCAUGAAGACCCUAGUCAUAAAGCUGAGGAAACAACAUUGGACCAAACCAAGCCUUCUGAAUGUGGGUGCCAGCUAGGAAGCCAAGACAGUCUAUGGGACCUCUAAGAGUGGAGCCAGUCUUUGUCCCUAGAGUGCAAAUGGACUUUGGGAGCCCAUUCCCUAUGAAGGAAUAUUAUUGAAGCCCAGAUACAGCAAGGAGGGACUAGGCCCUCCCCAAAUGAUAUGAUGGACUUUGAG